RNAcentral lists this unclassified non-coding RNA (372 nucleotides) under soil metagenome. Its description in RNAcentral is "partial contains 5.8S ribosomal RNA, internal transcribed spacer 2, and large subunit ribosomal RNA". The stretch from base 1 to 120 matches the Rfam family "5.8S ribosomal RNA", at positions 35 to 154 of the family's 154-position model. The record is from RNAcentral.
GAUGAAGAACGUAGCGAAAUGCGAUAAGUAAUGUGAAUUCCAGAAUUCAGUGAAUCAUCGAAUCUUUGAACGCACAUUGCGCCCCCCGGCAUUCCGGGGGGCAUGCCUGUUCGAGCGUCUCCAGGACGAAUCCUCGCGCGAGUGAACGCGCGGUCGUGGCGGAGGUGGCGUGCCCGAGCAGGGCGGCCACCGCGCUGGAAUCCAUGGGCGGACGCCUGCCGCGUGGCCGAGCGUGAUAUGACGCAUUGGCGCUCGUGCGCGGCGAGGCUGCCAGCCCUGGCCCGUCUGUCGGGCGGGGUAGAUCACCACGUGGGAACUCCUCGAAUCAGGUAGGGAUACCCGCUGAACUUAAGCAUAUCAAUAAGCGGAGGA